Molecule: ribosomal RNA, 253 nt
Filed under: uncultured bacterium
Lineage: Bacteria
Description: partial 16S ribosomal RNA
Rfam family: Bacterial small subunit ribosomal RNA
Source: RNAcentral
UACGUAGGGCGCGAGCGUUGUCCGGAUUUAUUGGGCGUAAAGAGCUCGUAGGCGGCUUGUCGCGUCGACUGUGAAAUCCCGCGGCUCAACUGCGGGUCUGCAGUCGAUACGGGCAGGCUAGAGUUCGGUAGGGGAGACUGGAAUUCCUGGUGUAGCGGUGAAAUGCGCAGAUAUCGGGAGGAACACCAAUGGCGAAGGCAGCUCGCUGGGACGUUACUGACGCUGAGACGCGAAAGCGUGGGGAGCAAACAGG